Molecule: ribosomal RNA, 301 nt
Filed under: uncultured bacterium
Lineage: Bacteria
Description: partial 16S ribosomal RNA
Rfam family: Bacterial small subunit ribosomal RNA
Source: RNAcentral
CAGUAGCCGCGGUAAUACAGAGGGUGCGAGCGUUAAUCGGAUUUACUGGGCGUAAAGCGUGCGUAGGCGGCUUCUUAAGUCGGAUGUGAAAUCCCUGAGCUUAACUUAGGAAUUGCAUUCGAUACUGGGAAGCUAGAGUAUGGGAGAGGAUGGUAGAAUUCCAGGUGUAGCGGUGAAAUGCGUAGAGAUCUGGAGGAAUACCGAUGGAGAAGGCAGCCAUCUGGCCUAAUACUGACGCUGAGGUACGAAAGCAUGGGGAGCAAACAGGAUUAGAUACCCCGGUAGUCCCUGUCUCUUAUAC